GGGGAAGGGAAGAAAGGGAGCAGGAAAGAGGAAAUAGGAGCGGGGAGUGUCUAUAGGUACAGAUUGGGUGAUGGGGAAGGAAGAAAAGGAGCAGGAAAGAGGAAAUGGGAGCGAGGAGUGUCCAUAGGUACAGAUUGGGUGAUGGGGAAGGGAAGAAGGGCAGCAGGAAAGAUAGGAAAUAGGAGCAAGGAGUCUAUAGGUACAGAUUGGGUGAUGGGGAAGGGAAGAAGGGCAGCAGGAAAGAUAGGAAAUAGGAGCAAGGAGUCUAUAGGUACAGAUUGGGUGAUGGGGAAGGGAAGAAGGGCAGCAGGAAAGAUAGGAAAUGGGAGUGAGGAGUCCAUAGGUACAGAUUGGGUGAUGGGGAAGGGAAGAAAGGGAGCAGGAGAGA
RNAcentral lists this long non-coding RNA (388 nucleotides) under Gallus gallus (chicken). RNAcentral's name for it is "lncRNA (ENSGALG00010000781.1)". Lineage: Eukaryota; Metazoa; Chordata; Aves; Galliformes; Phasianidae. The record is from RNAcentral.